GACGAACCGUGCGAACGUUGUUCGGAAUCACUGGGCUUAAAGGGCGCGUAGGCGGUCUGCCAAGUCUGGGGUGAAAUCCUUCGGCUCAACCGGAGAACGGCCUCGGAUACUGGCGGUCUCGAGGGAGGUAGGGGCGUGCGGAACUAAGGGUGGAGCGGUGAAAUGCGUUGAUAUCCUUAGGAACUCCGGUGGCGAAGGCGGCACGCUGGACCUCUUCUGACGCUGAGGCGCGAAAGCCAGGGGAGCAAACGGG
RNAcentral lists this ribosomal RNA (253 nucleotides) under uncultured bacterium. RNAcentral describes it as "partial 16S ribosomal RNA". It matches the Rfam family "Bacterial small subunit ribosomal RNA", at positions 524 to 776 of the family's 1533-position model. The record is from RNAcentral.